UACAGAGGGGGCAAGCGUUAUUCGGAAUUAUUGGGCGUAAAGGGCGCGUAGGCGGCUUGGCAAGUGGAUGGUGAAAUCCCCCGGCUUAACCGAGGAACUGCCGUCCAAACUGCUUCGCUUGAGACCGGGAGAGGUGAGUGGAAUUCCCAGUGUAGCGGUGAAAUGCGUAGAUAUUGGGAGGAACACCAGUGGCGAAGGCGGCUCACUGGACCGGUACUGACGCUGAUGCACGAAAGCGUGGGGAGUAAACGGG
RNAcentral lists this ribosomal RNA (253 nucleotides) under uncultured bacterium. RNAcentral describes it as "partial 16S ribosomal RNA". It matches the Rfam family "Bacterial small subunit ribosomal RNA", at positions 524 to 776 of the family's 1533-position model. The record is from RNAcentral.